This 71-nucleotide transfer RNA is filed under the name Alligator mississippiensis (American alligator). It matches the Rfam family "tRNA". Rfam says of the family: Transfer RNA (tRNA) molecules are approximately 80 nucleotides in length. The record is from Rfam by way of RNAcentral. Lineage: Eukaryota; Metazoa; Chordata; Crocodylia; Alligatoridae.
GCAUUGGUGGUUCAGUGGUAGAAUUCUCACCUGCCACACUGGAGGCCUGGGUUCAAUUCCUGGCCAAUGCA